AGAACGAACGCUGGCGGCAGGCCUAACACAUGCAAGUCGAACGCCCGUAGCAAUACGGGAGUGGCAGACGGGUGAGUAACGCGUGGGAACGUGCCCUUCGGUUCGGAAUAACUCAGGGAAACUUGAGCUAAUACCGGAUACGUCCGUAAGGAGAAAGAUUUAUCGCCGAAGGAUCGGCCCGCGUCGGAUUAGCUAGUUGGUGGGGUAAAAGCUCACCAAGGCGACGAUCCGUAGCUGGUCUGAGAGGAUGAUCAGCCACACUGGGACUGAGACACGGCCCAGACUCCUACGGGAGGCAGCAGUGGGGAAUAUUGGACAAUGGGCGAAAGCCUGAUCCAGCCAUGCCGCGUGAGUGAAGAGGCCUUAGGGUUGUAAAGCUCUUUCAGCGGGGAAGAUAAUGACGGUACCGCAGAAGAAGUCCCGGCUAACUUCGUGCCAGCAGCCGC
Molecule: ribosomal RNA, 446 nt
Filed under: uncultured bacterium
Lineage: Bacteria
Description: SSU rRNA
Rfam family: Bacterial small subunit ribosomal RNA
Source: RNAcentral